This 840-nucleotide ribosomal RNA is filed under the name Gibellula pulchra. Its description in RNAcentral is "LSU rRNA". It matches the Rfam family "Eukaryotic large subunit ribosomal RNA", at positions 66 to 923 of the family's 3401-position model. Lineage: Eukaryota; Fungi; Ascomycota; Sordariomycetes; Hypocreales; Cordycipitaceae. The record is from RNAcentral.
CAACAGGGAUUGCCCCAGUAACGGCGAGUGAAGCGGCAGCAGCUCAGAUUUGAAAUCUGGCCCCCCGGCGGGGGCCCGAGUUGUAGUCUGCAGAGGAUGCCCUGGGCGCGGCGCCUUCCGAGUUCCCUGGAACGGGACGCCACAGAGGGUGAGAGCCCCGUCCGGUCGGACGCCAGGCCCGUGUAGGGCUCCUUCGACGAGUCGAGUAGUUUGGGAAUGCUGCUCAAAGUGGGAGGUAUAUGUCUUCUAAAGCUAAAUACCGGCCAGAGACCGAUAGCGCACAAGUAGAGUGAUCGAAAGAUGAAAAGCACUUUGGAAAGAGGGUUAAAGAGCACGUGAAAUUGCUGAAAGGGAAGCGCCCGCGACCAGACUUGGGCCCGGCAGGUCACCCAGGCUCUCGGGCCAGGGGCACUCUGCCGGGCGCAGGCCAGCAUCGGCUCGGCGCGGGGGACAAAGGCGGCGGGAACGUGGCUCCUCAGGGAGUGCUUAUAGCCCGCCGCGCCAUGCCCCGUGCCGGGCCGAGGCACGCGCACCGCAAGGAUGCUGGCGUAAUGGUCGCCGGCGACCCGUCUUGAAACACGGACCAAGGAGUCGUCCUCGUAUGCGAGUGUUGGGGUGCCAAACCCCUACGCGCAGUGAAAGCGAACGCAGGUGAGAGCCGAAGCCUCGGCGCAUCAUCGACCGAUCCUGAUGUUCUCGGAUGGAUUUGAGUAGGAGCAUACGGGGCCGGACCCGAAAGAAGGUGAACUAUGCCUGUGUAGGGUGAAGCCAGAGGAAACUCUGGUGGAGGCUCGCAGCGGUUCUGACGUGCGAAUCGAUCGUCAAACAUGGGCAUGGGGG